This 503-nucleotide ribosomal RNA is filed under the name uncultured bacterium. RNAcentral's name for it is "partial 16S ribosomal RNA". It matches the Rfam family "Bacterial small subunit ribosomal RNA", at positions 30 to 523 of the family's 1533-position model. The record is from RNAcentral.
AUUGAACGCUGGCGGCAGGCUUAACACAUGCAAGUCGAGCGGGGUGAUGGUGCUUGCACUAUCACUUAGCGGCGGACGGGUGAGUAAUGCUUAGGAAUCUGCCUAUUAAUGGGGGACAACAUCUCGAAAGGGAUACUAAUACCGCAUACGUCCUACGGGAGAAAGCAGGGGAUCACUUGUGACCUUGCGCUAAUAGAUGAGCCUAAGUCGGAUUAGCUAGUUGGUGGGGUAAAGGCCUACCAAGGCGACGAUCUGUAGCGGGUCUGAGAGGAUGAGCCGCAACACGGGGACUGAGACACGGCCCAGACUCCUACGGGAGGCAGAAGUGGGGAAUAUUGGACAAUGGGGGGAACCCUGAUCCAGCCAUGCCGCGUGUGUGAAGAAGGCCUUAUGGUUGUAAAGCACUUUAAGCGAGGAGGAGGCUCUUUUGGUUAAUACCCAAGAUGAGUGGACGUUACUCGCAGAAUAAGCACCGGCUAACUCUGUGCCAGCCGCCGCCGUAA